AGGACGAAGUUAGUGUUCUCUACACUCUAAAUCUGAAAGGAUAUGAUAGUAAACCUCUGCUGCUAGUUCAUGGAUACCUAUGUUUUCGUAACAAUACGUGUUUCAACGAAAUCAAGGGUUUGCAUGAAUUGGGAGAAGAGUUUACUUUGAUCUUUUGGUUUUGGAGUGAAGGGAGCACUACUGGUUUUCCUC
This 192-nucleotide microRNA precursor is filed under the name Vigna radiata var. radiata (mung bean). RNAcentral's name for it is "pre miRNA MIR159". It matches the Rfam family "MIR159 microRNA precursor family". Lineage: Eukaryota; Viridiplantae; Streptophyta; Magnoliopsida; Fabales; Fabaceae. The record is from Rfam by way of RNAcentral.